Molecule: long non-coding RNA, 974 nt
Filed under: Vigna radiata
Lineage: Eukaryota; Viridiplantae; Streptophyta; Magnoliopsida; Fabales; Fabaceae
Description: long non-coding RNA (VRAD_LNC001673)
Source: RNAcentral
UCCGAAUGUUAAACAUUUGUUGUGAGUUAACUUGCUCAGAAUUCUCUAGAGUGUAGCAUUUAUAGAAGAAAAAUUAUCUAAAAUCAAGGUUUUACAUUUUCAAUUAAACUAAUCCGCGAAGAGGUGAAAGUUGAGAUUGUUGGAGGAUGUAAAGUGAAAAUGAAUUUUUAAUAAUUUUUUGACAACAUACUAUCAAACCUAAGAAAAACUAUCACGUAUAAACAUUGUGAAAAUAUUGUUAAAAAAAACAUUUUUCAAGUAAAAAAUAAGCCUUUGUGGAGAAAAUGACCCACAUUGGUGCACAUGAUAUUGUUUUAAAGGCAAUUACUUUUUUACAUCCUGUUUCUUUCUACACUUUGAGGUAGGUGUUAAAAUUGAGGUAGGUGUUAAAAGGGUAGCGAUAUUUCAACAACGCAUCUUUGACAACGGCUUUGACAAAGCCAGCAGUCACUUUUUUAUUGGCUGCAUUUAUUUGAUUUUUUUUAAUUCGAAAAUUUGAUUUGGAUUGGUUUUCCGAAAGUGUCCCUCUGUCCAAAAGAGAUCGUUCUCAGUGUUAGGGUUUUCAUUCUGAAAUUUCGCAUUUUCUUUCCUUCUCACUCUCGUUCUCUCUCGUUCGCGUCGUCAUUCUUGUCCUUGGAACUGUCGUUGUCUCUGCUUGGCACUGUCGUUCUUCUCCUUCACAAUCUCGUUCUGUCUCCUUCGCACUGUCUCCUUCGCAGUCUCGUUCUGUCUCAUUUGCCAUCUUCCCUCCGUCUUCCCUCCUUCUUCGAUUUUUGUUGAGUGGUUGCCCCUUUGAGUUGGUAUAGAGUUUGUUUGUCUGUGGAGUUUGUGGAGUCCGUUUAAGGUUUGUUUGAAGUUUGUGUUUGUUUCUUCGUUUUAGUGUGGAAUGGCUUCGACCCUUGACACUGGUUCUGCCAACAAGGUAUAUAUAUCAUUGGUUUGACAUAUUGUUUGUGUAUUUUGUUCGUUAUGUG